This 253-nucleotide ribosomal RNA is filed under the name uncultured bacterium. RNAcentral's name for it is "partial 16S ribosomal RNA". It matches the Rfam family "Bacterial small subunit ribosomal RNA", at positions 524 to 776 of the family's 1533-position model. The record is from RNAcentral.
UACGUAGGGGGCAAGCGUUGUCCGGAAUCAUUGGGCGUAAAGCGCGUGUAGGCGGCCCGAUAAGUCCGCUGUGAAAAUCCAGGGCUCAACCCUGGACCUGCAUUCGAUACGGGCAGACUAGAGUUCGGUAGGGGAGACUGGAAUUCCUGGUGUAGCGGUGAAAUGCGCAGAUAUCAGGAGGAACACCGGUGGCGAAGGCGGGUCUCUGGGCCGAAACUGACGCUGAGGAGCGAAAGCGUGGGGAGCAAACAGG